RNAcentral lists this long non-coding RNA (762 nucleotides) under Lactuca sativa (garden lettuce). Its description in RNAcentral is "long non-coding RNA (LSAT_LNC005059)". The record is from RNAcentral. Lineage: Eukaryota; Viridiplantae; Streptophyta; Magnoliopsida; Asterales; Asteraceae.
CCUAUUUUGCAUAUAUCUACACCAUCUAUGGUGAUAAAACCUUCUGUAGGCUCUAUAACCCUAAAAAUGGCUUGUAUAAGAGUUGACUUUCCGCUUCCUGUUCUACCAACAACACCGACUUUCUUCUUUCCUGGAAAUGUGCAGGUAAUGUUUUUCAAGACAGAAGGGAGAUGAUCUGCGUAUCGAAUCUGCAUAAAAAAAUUGACACAAUUUCGGUUUUCUUUUAGUUUAUAUUGAUUUCGAAUUUGCAGAAUUGAAGAAGCUUAAUUGUUUAUACCUGCAAAUUCGUGAAAGAAAUUGUUCCGUUUUGUGGCCAUUGGCUUGAGGGUCGAGAAUCCUCGAUCACAAGAGGCGCUUCACUGGUAAGAUUUGAAUACUGCAACACUCUUUCCACUGAGAUCAUUUUGUUUUCUGCAUUGCAUAUAUUCCAUAUAACAGAAGCUUGCUGAACAUUUAGAUUGAUCCCAUAAGUCACUGCUAAUCCUGCAAUGCCUGCGAUGACAAAAAAAACACACAUUCGAAUUCGAUUCAACUUUCAUAAUUUGGGGAUCGUGAUAAACAAAUAAUCCAUUUUUGUGAAAUUAUGAACUCACUUGGAUUAAUGAUUCCAUCAGGAAGAGUAACAAGGAGAAUGAGUGAGAACGCAAAGACGAAAUUUGAUAACUGGUUCAAUCUGAAACAAAGCCACUCGAUUGCUGCGACAUUAUGAAACCAUGGUCUCGAGUGAUUAUCAAUCAAAUAAAGAUUUUUCUCAAUAAACCG